CAGAAAUGAUUUUUCUAUCCCAUCCUCAGGGACCAGUGGGAAUGAAUUUUACCAUCCCACCCUCAAGGGCCAGAUUGGAAGUGAUAUUGGUGGAAGACAACAUUUUGCCGCUUGGAAUUCUCACCUCCACACCAAAGAAGUACUGUUUUUGUCAUUUGCACCAGCUUCUUUCUCCAGGAAAGAUCAAAACGAUGCACUGCAAAGGAAGCAAGAGAAUGAAUUAAAGAAAACUCCAGAGAAUGAGCUGACAACUUACGCCCUGGUCAGUGGCUCUCCAUGCCUACCUGUGGUCUCUUGGACACCCUUGCAGGUAUGUGGGCAGGGAACUGCAUGUUUAUAGGAAACAGGCCUAGGAUGGAAGGAGUUAAUAGAUCUUCCUCUUCUUGAGUUUGAUG
Molecule: long non-coding RNA, 395 nt
Filed under: Gorilla gorilla gorilla (western lowland gorilla)
Lineage: Eukaryota; Metazoa; Chordata; Mammalia; Primates; Hominidae
Description: lncRNA (ENSGGOG00000044326.1)
Source: RNAcentral